AACGAACGCUGGCGGCAGGCCUAACACAUGCAAGUCGAACGGUUGUAGCAAUACAGCCGUGGCGCACGGGUGAGUAACGCGUGGGAAUCUGCCCAGUAGUACGGCAUAACAGUUGGAAACGACUGACAAUACCGUAUACGCCCUUCGGGGGAAAGUUUUUCGCUAUUGGAUGGGCCCGCGUCAGGUUAGCUAGUUGGUGGGGUAAUGGCCUACCAAGGCGACGAUCUGUAGCUGUUCUGAGAGGAAGACCAGCCACACUGGAACUGAGACACGGUCCAGCCUCCUACGGGAGGCAGCAGUGGGGAAUAUUGGACAAGGGGCGAAAGCCUGAUCCAGCCAUGCCGCGUGAGUGAUGAAGGCCUUAGGGUUGUAAAGCUCUUUUGGCGGGGAAGAUAAUGACGGUACCCGCAGAAUAAGUUCCGGCUAACUUCGUGCCAGCAGCCGCGGUAA
RNAcentral lists this ribosomal RNA (450 nucleotides) under uncultured bacterium. Its description in RNAcentral is "partial 16S ribosomal RNA". It matches the Rfam family "Bacterial small subunit ribosomal RNA", at positions 29 to 523 of the family's 1533-position model. The record is from RNAcentral.